Molecule: ribosomal RNA, 377 nt
Filed under: uncultured bacterium
Lineage: Bacteria
Description: partial 16S ribosomal RNA
Rfam family: Bacterial small subunit ribosomal RNA
Source: RNAcentral
CCUACGGGUGGCAGCAGUAGGGAAUAUUGCGCAAUGGGGGAAACCCUGACGCAGCAACGCCGCGUGGAGGAUGAAGGUUUUCGGAUUGUAAACUCCUUUUGUUAGAGAAGAUAAUGACGGUAUCUAACGAAUAAGCACCGGCUAACUCCGUGCCAACAGCCGGCGUAAUACGGAGGGUGCAAGCGUUACUCGGAAUCACUGGGCGUAAAGAGCGCGUAGGCGGGAUAGCAAGUCAGAUGUGAAAUCCUAUUGCCUAAACAUAAGAAUGCAUUUGAAACUGUUAUUCUAGAGUAUGGGAGAGGUAGGUGGAAUUCUUGGUGUAGGGGUAAAAUCCGUAGAGAUAAAGAGGAAUACCCAUUGCGAAGGCGACCUGCUAG